Molecule: long non-coding RNA, 1493 nt
Organism: Helianthus annuus (common sunflower)
Lineage: Eukaryota; Viridiplantae; Streptophyta; Magnoliopsida; Asterales; Asteraceae
Exons: 3
Source: RefSeq, a predicted model, not a curated record
ACCCCCUACGUGACACCUCUUCCAGCAGAGAGAGAGAGACAGUGGAAAGCAAGGGGCCGGUCACGGUGGUUUCGUGGCACUAACGACCGUCAUUUUGACGCGUAAGCCGGUUCCAUUUCAUAGUCUGAAGGCAGGGAAGCCACAGGUGGUGGUGGUUUGUGCAUCCGAGGGGCGGUGAUUGGGUCCAAUGGCGUUACAGCUCGCAUGCCGGCGUCCCCGGUACUCAACAUCGACGACAGCAACUUUGAUGAAUUGGGUGGCGGUAGUUCAAGAUGUGGAUUAGGUUUUUCGGUGGCCAUUGGUGACGGCGAACAGGUUUCGUGACGAUACACGAGUGGAGAACCACGAGGGAUGUUAGAUCGGAGGUUUGCAUAGCUAGCCAGUGACGGCGCUCAAGUGCCUACGGUUCCGAUCAAGUUCUGGCAACUUUUCGGUGUAGUUUCACACUUGGAUGUUGGCAAAGGGCUGUGACAAACUGCGGCAAAUAGUAAGGAUGCAAAUACACGAGGAUCUUGAUGUGAGGUGAGAUCGCUCUUAUUAAUGUUGCAAGGCAAGGGCAUAUCUCCAAUGCUAAUACCUCAUUGAACACGUACUGAAACUGAUGAUGACAUUACUUCUUUGUUCUUAGCUGUAGUUGCAGACUCACUCCAAUGUUUGGAGCUAUUAACAUAGGUACACCAAUAUCUCUACUAUUAGAAAGGGUUCUUUACAAACAAGAAUAUAAGCAAUCUGACCUUGAAUUUUUUAUUUAUUUUUAUUUAUUUAUUUAUUUAUGUUUUUGCUAUGAGUAUUUCUGUUUUGUUUAGAUUUUUUUAUUACUUACUAAUCUAUGAAGAAAGUGAAUGCAACUCGAUUUGUGAAAUUGCCAAGGCAAUUAUGUUAUCUGCAGCCUCAUUCAUUCGGAUCAUGUUUCAUCUCUAACGGGUCAAACGGAUGAUGUUUUAAAAAUAUCGUAAAGAAACCUUUUUAUGGGCCUUAUGGUACUACAUGUUGAAAGGCGCUGAUAGUGUGUCUUUAAUAAUGGUAAAACUUGAUUAUUAUGAAGUGAUUAAGUUUUUUAAGAAAAUUUGGUGCAUUGAUUAUCUAUAGAACACUUCAAACAUUUUAAGCCAACCCAAACCUUACCAAAAUCAUCUACUCUAAAACCUUCAUAAUAUUACUAAAUAUUUAGAAAGUGUAGUGGUUGGACGAUGUCAUUCUUGGAAUCCCAACAAUUUGGCAUAUAUUGGGCUUUGUCUUUUUUGGGUUCACCAGGUGUGUUGCCGUUCACGGCCCUAGACGUAGGUGUGUACGGGUUCAACUCACUAAAUAGAUGGAAUUCACAGCUCUAAAAUUGUUUGUGCAGGAAGGCGCAAAAGUUCAAUCACGGGGACUAAUACAACCAAGCUUUAGGCCGGUCAAUUGUUUGUGUCUUUAGCUCUUGCUUUUAUAUGUCUAUUUUUAUUAUUAACUCAGAUAUAUAACCAAAAAGGAGAGUAACGUCUUUCAAAAUA